RNAcentral lists this small nuclear RNA (306 nucleotides) under Neotoma lepida (desert woodrat). Its description in RNAcentral is "7SK RNA". It matches the Rfam family "7SK RNA". From Rfam's summary of the family: 7SK was discovered as an abundant small nuclear RNA in the mid-70s but a possible function has only recently been suggested. Two independent studies have found that 7SK RNA binds the CDK9/cyclin T complex (known as elongation factor P-TEFb). P-TEFb activates transcription by phosphorylating the C-terminal domain of RNA polymerase II. The record is from Rfam by way of RNAcentral. Lineage: Eukaryota; Metazoa; Chordata; Mammalia; Rodentia; Cricetidae.
UGGUAUUUUCUGAUCUGGCUACAUUUUCUGUAACACUAUUAAUUGAUAGUGUUGAUUAAGAUGAUCUGGCUGGCUAGGCAGGUGUCCUCUUCCUCAACUCUCAAUGUGCAUCCCUCCAAAAGCUGCACAUUUGACCAAAUAGGAUGACCUAUCCCAAAUAAAGAAGGACCUGUCUUCAGUUAAGGGCAUAUGAAUAGUUGAUCUCCUGCUGGAAAUCCAAACAAGCUCUUCAAUUUUGGAAAUUACAAAUAAAACUGCUAUAUAGACAUCAUUAUAGGACUUUUAUGUGGACUUAAGUUUUAGUUU